AGCGAACGCUGGCGGCAGGCCUAACACAUGCAAGUCGAGCGGCCGUAGCAAUACGGCAGCGGCAGACGGGAGAGUAACACGUGGGAACGUACCCUUUGGUUCGGAACAACACAGGGAAACUUGUGCUAAUACCGGAUAAGCCCUUACGGGGAAAGAUUAUCGCCAAAGGAUCGGCCCGCGUCUGAUUAGCUAGUUGGUGGGUAACGGCCCGACCAAGGCGACGAUCAGUAGCUGGUCUGAGAGGAUGAUCAGCCUCACUGGGACUGAGACACGGCCCAGACUCCUACGGGAGGCAGCAGUGGGGAAUAUUGGACAAUGGGCGCAAGCCUGAUCCAGCCAUGCCGCGUGGAUGAUGAAGGCCC
Molecule: ribosomal RNA, 362 nt
Filed under: uncultured bacterium
Lineage: Bacteria
Description: bacterial SSU rRNA
Rfam family: Bacterial small subunit ribosomal RNA
Source: RNAcentral